This 403-nucleotide ribosomal RNA is filed under the name uncultured bacterium. RNAcentral's name for it is "partial 16S ribosomal RNA". It matches the Rfam family "Bacterial small subunit ribosomal RNA", at positions 30 to 526 of the family's 1533-position model. The record is from RNAcentral.
AUUGAACGCUGGCGGCAGGCCUAACACAUGCAAGUCGAGCGAGCGGCGGACGGGUGAGUAAUGUAUGGGGACUGCCCGAUAGAGGGGGAUAACUACUGAAAACGGUGGCUAAUACCGCAUACUAGCGGAUAACCCAUAUGGGAUUAGCUCGUAGGUGGGGUAAAGUGUCACAGAGGCGACGAUCUCUAGCUGGUCUGAGAGGAUGACCAGCCACACGUGGACUGAGACACGGCCCAGACUCCUCCGGAGGCAGCAGUGGGGAAUAUUGCACAAUGGGCGCAAGCCUGAUGCAGCCAUGCCGCGUGUAUGAAGAAGGCCUUAGGGUUGUAAAGUACUUUCAGCGGGGAGGCGUUACCCGCAGAAGAAGCACCGGCUAACUCCGUGCCAGCAGCCGCGGUAAUUC